GAUGAACGCUAGCGGCAGGCUUAAUACAUGCAAGUCGAGGGGCAGCAGUUUUGUAGCAAUACAGAAGCUGGCGACCGGCAAACGGGUGCGGAACACGUACGCAACCUUCCUUUAACUGGAAGAUAGCCCACCGAAAGGUGGAUUAAUACUCCAUAACAUAUUGAAGAGGCAUCUCUUUGAUAUUAAAGCUCCGGCGGUUAAAGAUGGGCGUGCGUCUGAUUAGGUAGUUGGCGGAGUAACGGCCCACCAAGCCUUCGAUCAGUAGCUGCUGUGAGAUAAUGAUCAGCAACACGGCAACUGAGACACGGGCCCGACUCCUACGGGAGGCAGCAGUAAGGAAUAUAGGUGAAUGGACGGAGGUCUGAACCAGGCAUGCCGCGUGGAGGAUGAAGGCCCUCUGGGUUGUAAACGUCUUUGCUUUGGGACGAAACCCCUGUUUCUACAGGGACUGACGGUACCAGAAGAACAAGCACCGGCUAACUCCGUGCCAGCCGCCGCGGUAA
This 503-nucleotide ribosomal RNA is filed under the name uncultured bacterium. RNAcentral describes it as "partial 16S ribosomal RNA". It matches the Rfam family "Bacterial small subunit ribosomal RNA", at positions 28 to 523 of the family's 1533-position model. The record is from RNAcentral.